GGUCCUAUAGAAAAGCUGAACAUAUUUUUGUUUUAUUAUCAACUUGUGAUUUUUUAUAUUUUUUUGUAAAAGUUUUUUGUCCACACCGUAACCACUUACCAUUCUUAGGUAGAAAUGAAUAAAGUAAUCUCGCUCCUUUGAAUUGUUUAAUGAAUUUAGUUAACUACUUCACUAUCGAAAAUCAGCGGGGAAUAUAAGACUUGACA
This 206-nucleotide long non-coding RNA is filed under the name Salvia miltiorrhiza (redroot sage). Its description in RNAcentral is "long non-coding RNA (SMIL_LNC013889)". The record is from RNAcentral. Lineage: Eukaryota; Viridiplantae; Streptophyta; Magnoliopsida; Lamiales; Lamiaceae.